AAAGACUGCCUAUGGUUAUGACUUGAAUAAAAAGGCACUUAACUAAUACUCAGAGACCAUUAUUUCUCAACAAGUUUUUGGGCUUAGAGGGAGUUCUAGCAAAUUAUGAGUCAAAUUAAAGGGUUAGGGGAUGAGAGAGGAGAAAUAGCUGUUAACCUGCAAAGCCCAACACAGUUCUGUUAUGAAUAGAGGCUAGUUUCAGCAACAAGAAUUUUUGUUUUGUCUGUAGUCAAGAGUCUGUGAAAGGGAAACAGCAAUUGAAAGCUUUAAUGCAACUGAGGCCAUAAUUUUUCUAUGUUCUUUUAUGCUUCUGUCAGGCUCUAUCAAAAUAUUCUUUUAAUCCCUGGAUAUGUUUUGCUUUGGCUUUUUUAAAAAUUCUGUAAUACCAAAAUAACUAAACUUCUUAACCUCUAUUUUCUAAGGCCUGAGAGACUGAACAUCCCCCUCCCAAAGGGGAAGCCACUAAAAAGAAAUUAAAUCUUGAGUGAGGGAGAACAGCAGCAGUUCAGAGCAUGGUACAACAGGAGUCAGCAUCCCCCAUCCUGAAGUUCUAUGAAGUUAUCAUGGCUGACAGAUCUACAACGUAAUGCAAAAGAAGAAACCAUAGCAUCAUGCCUGAAAAACUGACAUCUCUGCUUGGAUACUUUGCAGACACCUUCUGACAUGAACCUGCUCUCUGCUCGUGGCACACUCUGGUCUGUAUUAGAGAGAAACACAACAGGAACUUUUAGUCACUCUGGAAAAACAGCCAAACUUAACGGUAGUAUUUUUCCAGAAUCUCUGCCAGGGCUGAACAAACAAGUAGUCCAGGGUUAACAAGCAAGCGCUUCCAGAGAACACAAAAAUCACCCUGUAGCAAUUUUGUAGGUGCUUAUCAUGCAAAAACUCUUUAUGUUCAUCCUUGAGGAGACCAAAGCACCCCUCCCCCAAGCUGGCUAAACUACAUGUGCUCAAUAUGACUUUUAUACUGUGUUUAUGUAUAUGUUUAUGGAUAUGGAUAUUGUUUAUGCAUUUUGCUUUGUAAAUUAAUUUGAUAUGUUUUUUAUUGUACCUUGUGUAUUCUAUUGUAAACUGCUUUGAGAUCUUUUAGAUAGUAAGCGGUCUAUAAAUGGAAAUAAUAAUAAUGUGUCAAUUGUGUGAAUGGCCAAUUCAGAGGCUGCCUUCUGCAUGAAAACUCCAAAAUCCAGUGU
Long non-coding RNA from Rhineura floridana, 1190 nucleotides. RefSeq lists it as uncharacterized. NCBI's taxonomy places the organism in Eukaryota, Metazoa, Chordata, Lepidosauria, Squamata, Rhineuridae. The transcript has 3 exons. The record is from RefSeq and is a predicted model, not a curated record.